Molecule: ribosomal RNA, 573 nt
Filed under: uncultured bacterium
Lineage: Bacteria
Description: partial 16S ribosomal RNA
Rfam family: Bacterial small subunit ribosomal RNA
Source: RNAcentral
UGGGGAAUUUUGGACAAUGGGCGAAAGCCUGAUCCAGCAAUGCCGCGUGUGUGAAGAAGGCCUUCGGGUUGUAAAGCACUUUUGUCCGGAAAGAAAUCCUUGGCUCUAAUACAGUCGGGGGAUGACGGUACCGGAAGAAUAAGCACCGGCUAACUACGUGCCAGCAGCCGCGGUAAUACGUAGGGUGCAAGCGUUAACCGGAAUUACUGGGCGUAAAGCGUGCGCAGGCGGUUUGCUAAGACCGAUGUGAAAUCCCCGGGCUCAACCUGGGAACUGCAUUGGUGACUGGCAGGCUAGAGUAUGGCAGAGGGGGGUAGAAUUCCACGUGUAGCAGUGAAAUGCGUAGAGAUGUGGAGGAAUACCGAUGGCGAAGGCAGCCCCCUGGGCCAAAUACUGACGCUCAUGCACGAAAGCGUGGGGGAGCAAACAGGAUUAGAUACCCUGGUAGUCCACGCCCUAAACGAUGUCAACUAGUUGUUGGGGAUUCAUUUCCUUAGUAACGUAGCUAACGCGUGAAGUUGACCGCCUGGGGAGUACGGUCGCAAGAUUAAAACUCAAAGGAAUUGACGGGGU